This 70-nucleotide transfer RNA is filed under the name Phanogenia gracilis. RNAcentral's name for it is "tRNA-Ser". It matches the Rfam family "tRNA". From Rfam's summary of the family: Transfer RNA (tRNA) molecules are approximately 80 nucleotides in length. The record is from RNAcentral. Lineage: Eukaryota; Metazoa; Echinodermata; Crinoidea; Comatulida; Comatulidae.
AAAGAGAUGGCAGAAACAGUGCAUCUGGCUUGAAACCAGAAAGAUGGAAGUUAAAAUCUUCCUCUCUUUU